GAUGAACGCUGGCGGCGUGCCUAAUACAUGCAAGUCGAGCGAACAGAUGAGGAGCUUGCUCCUCUGACGUUAGCGGCGGACGGGUGAGUAACACGUGGAUAACCUACCUAUAAGACUGGGAUAACUUCGGGAAACCGGAGCUAAUACCGGAUAAUAUAUUGAACCGCAUGGUUCAAUAGUGAAAGACGGUUUUGCUGUCACUUAUAGAUGGAUCCGCGCCGCAUUAGCUAGUUGGUAAGGUAACGGCUUACCAAGGCAACGAUGCGUAGCCGACCUGAGAGGGUGAUCGGCCACCCUGGAACUGAGACACGGUCCAGACUCCUACGGGAGGCAGCAGUAGGGAAUCUUCCGCAAUGGGCGAAAGCCUGACGGAGCAACGCCGCGUGAGUGAUGAAGGUCUUCGGAUCGUAAAACUCUGUUAUUAGGGAAGAACAAAUGUGUAAGUAACUAUGCACGUCUUGACGGUACCUAAUCAGAAAGCCACGGCUAACUACGG
Molecule: ribosomal RNA, 496 nt
Filed under: uncultured bacterium
Lineage: Bacteria
Description: partial 16S ribosomal RNA
Rfam family: Bacterial small subunit ribosomal RNA
Source: RNAcentral